GACGAACGCUGGCGGCGUGCCUAAUACAUGCAAGUCGAACGAACCGCGACUAAGUGCUUGCACUAAGUCAAGGUGAGUGGCGAACGGGUGAGUAGCACGUGGGUAACCUACCUCAUAGUGGGGGAUAACAGUCGGAAACGACUGCUAAUACCGCAUAGGACAUAGGAUCACAUGAUCCAGUGAGGAAAGGUGGCGCAAGCUAUCGCUAAGAGAUGGACCCGCGGUGCAUUAGCUAGUUGGUAGGGUAAAGGCCUACCAAGGCGAUGAUGCAUAGCCGACCUGAGAGGGUGAUCGGCCACAUUGGGACUGAGACACGGCCCAAACUCCUACGGGAGGCAGCAGUAGGGAAUCUUCCGCAAUGGACGCAAGUCUGACGGAGCAACGCCGCGUGAGUGAAGAAGGUCUUCGGAUCGUAAAGCUCUGUUGUUAGAGAAGAACAGCGCAUAGAGUAACUGCUAUGCGUGUGACGGUAUCUAACCAGAAAGCCACGGCUAACUACGUG
RNAcentral lists this ribosomal RNA (502 nucleotides) under uncultured bacterium. Its description in RNAcentral is "partial 16S ribosomal RNA". It matches the Rfam family "Bacterial small subunit ribosomal RNA", at positions 28 to 507 of the family's 1533-position model. The record is from RNAcentral.